GAUGAACGCUGGCGGCGUGCUUAACACAUGCAAGUCGAACGGUGAAGGCGGAGCUUGCUCUGCUGGAUCAGUGGCGAACGGGUGAGUAACACGUGAGCAAUCUGCCCCUGACUCUGGGAUAAGCGCUGGAAACGGCGUCUAAUACUGGAUACGAGCUGCGAAGGCAUCUUCAGCAGCUGGAAAGAACUUCGGUCAGGGAUGAGCUCGCGGCCUAUCAGCUUGUUGGUGAGGUAACGGCUCACCAAGGCGUCGACGGGUAGCCGGCCUGAGAGGGUGACCGGCCACACUGGGACUGAGACACGGCCCAGACUCCAACGGGAGGCAGCAGUGGGGAAUAUUGCACAAUGGGCGAAAGCCUGAUGCAGCAACGCCGCGUGAGGGACGACGGCCUUCGGGUUGUAAACCUCUUUUAGCAGGGAAGAAGCGAAAGUGACGGUACCUGCAGAAAAAGCGCCGGCUAACUACGUG
This 468-nucleotide ribosomal RNA is filed under the name uncultured bacterium. Its description in RNAcentral is "partial 16S ribosomal RNA". It matches the Rfam family "Bacterial small subunit ribosomal RNA", at positions 28 to 507 of the family's 1533-position model. The record is from RNAcentral.